This 253-nucleotide ribosomal RNA is filed under the name uncultured bacterium. RNAcentral describes it as "partial 16S ribosomal RNA". It matches the Rfam family "Bacterial small subunit ribosomal RNA", at positions 524 to 776 of the family's 1533-position model. The record is from RNAcentral.
UACGUAGGUGGCAAGCGUUAUCCGGAUUUACUGGGUGUAAAGGGCGUGUAGGCGGGAGGGCAAGUCAGACGUGAAAUUCCAGGGCUCAACCCUGGAACUGCGUUUGAAACUGUUCUUCUUGAGUGAUGGAGAGGCAGGCGGAAUUCCGUGUGUAGCGGUGAAAUGCGUAGAUAUACGGAGGAACACCAGUGGCGAAGGCGGCCUGCUGGACAUUAACUGACGCUGAGGCGCGAAAGCGUGGGGAGUAAACAGG